Molecule: ribosomal RNA, 791 nt
Filed under: uncultured bacterium
Lineage: Bacteria
Description: bacterial SSU rRNA
Rfam family: Bacterial small subunit ribosomal RNA
Source: RNAcentral
AGAGUUUGAUCCUGGCUCAGAUUGAACGCUGGCGGCAUGCCUUACACAUGCAAGUCGAACGGCAGCGCGGGGGCAACCCUGGCGGCGAGUGGCGAACGGGUGAGUAAUACAUCGGAACGUGUCCUGGAGUGGGGGAUAGCUCGGCGAAAGCCGGAUUAAUACCGCAUACGCUCUACGGAGGAAAGCGGGGGAUCUUCGGACCUCGCGCUCAAGGGGCGGCCGAUGGCGGAUUAGCUAGUUGGUGGGGUAAAGGCCUACCAAGGCGACGAUCCGUAGCUGGUCUGAGAGGACGACCAGCCACACUGGGACUGAGACACGGCCCAGACUCCUACGGGAGGCAGCAGUGGGGAAUUUUGGACAAUGGGGGAAACCCUGAUCCAGCAAUGCCGCGUGUGUGAAGAAGGCCUUCGGGUUGUAAAGCACUUUUGUUCGGGAAGAAAUCCUUCGAGCUAAUACCUUGAGGGGAUGACGGUACCGGAAGAAUAAGCACCGGCUAACUACGUGCCAGCAGCCGCGGUAAUACGUAGGGUGCGAGCGUUAAUCGGAAUUACUGGGCGUAAAGCGUGCGCAGGCGGUUCGCUAAGACCGAUGUGAAAUCCCCGGGCUUAACCUGGGAACUGCAUUGGUGACUGGCGGGCUAGAGUAUGGCAGAGGGGGGUAGAAUUCCACGUAGCAGUGAAAUGCGUAGAGAUGUGGAGGAAUACCGAUGGCGAAGGCAGCCCCCUGGGCCAAUACUGACGCUCAUGCACGAAAGCGUGGGGAGCAAACAGGAUUAGAUACCCUAGUAGUCC